UUUGGAGGCAGAUGAGCCGUUUGUUCUCGAUGUGGAAAAUGUCGUCAGUCGUUUCCGGGCGAAUCUGCUCGUGUCUGGAGCCCAGGAGUUUCAGGAGGAUCUGUGGUGUGGGCUGAGAGUCGGAGACGCGACAUUCACGGUGUCGGGGCCGUGUGGACGAUGUCACAUGGUCGGGAUCGACCAGGAGACCGGAGUCCGGACCAAAGAACCUCUGCUCACUCUGUCUGCGUACAGGAAGAACAGCAAGGUGACGUUCGGCGUGUACCUCGCCCACCAGCUCCCGCAGGACUCGGCCGUGACCCCUGUGCUCAGAGUCGGCUCCCGCGUCCUGCCCCAGUCUCUCCGCUCCUAAACUCUGUGCUGCUCGUUUUACACUGGCUCCACAGAUUUAGAAGAAUAUUAUUUAUUAUUGUUUUAUUUGUUUUGUUUUGCUUUUGCUUUUGACUCAAAUACGACAUGUGUAAGAUUAAGUCAUUUUAAUCCUGUGUUUCCCACUGAAGCUUAUUCU
Boleophthalmus pectinirostris (great blue-spotted mudskipper) is the source of this 508-nucleotide long non-coding RNA. RefSeq lists it as uncharacterized. The transcript is spliced from 3 exons. NCBI's taxonomy places the organism in Eukaryota, Metazoa, Chordata, Actinopteri, Gobiiformes, Gobiidae. The record is from RefSeq and is a predicted model, not a curated record.